Molecule: ribosomal RNA, 493 nt
Filed under: uncultured bacterium
Lineage: Bacteria
Description: partial 16S ribosomal RNA
Rfam family: Bacterial small subunit ribosomal RNA
Source: RNAcentral
GACGAACGCUGGCGGCGUGCUUAACACAUGCAAGUCGAACGGUGAAGCGCCUUCCUUUUUGGUGGGUGUGGAUGAGUGGCGAACGGGUGAGUAACACGUGAGUAACCUGCCCCCUUCUUCUGGAUAACCGCAUGAAAGUGUGGCUAAUACGGGAUAUUCUGGGUCUGUCGCAUGAUGGGUCUGGGAAAGAUAUUGUUUCGGUGGGGGAUGGGCUCGCGGCCUAUCAGCUUGUUGGUGGGGUGAUGGCCUACCAAGGCGGUGACGGGUAGCCGGCCUGAGAGGGUGGACGGUCACACGGGGACUGAGACACGGCCCAGACUGCUACGGGAGGCAGCAGUGGGGAAUAUUGCACAAUGGGCGCAAGCCUGAUGCAGCGACGCCGCGUGAGGGAUGGAGGCCUUCGGGUUGUGAACCUCUUUCGCCAGUGAAGCAGGCCUGCCUCGUUUGUGGGUGGGUUGACGGUAGCUGGAUAAGAAGCGCCGGCUAACUACGU